RNAcentral lists this ribosomal RNA (253 nucleotides) under uncultured bacterium. RNAcentral's name for it is "partial 16S ribosomal RNA". It matches the Rfam family "Bacterial small subunit ribosomal RNA", at positions 524 to 776 of the family's 1533-position model. The record is from RNAcentral.
UACAGAGGUCCCAAGCGUUGUUCGGAUUCACUGGGCGUAAAGGGUGCGUAGGCGGUCGGGUAAGUCUGACGUGAAAUCUCCAAGCUCAACUUGGAAAUGGCGUCGGAUACUAUUCGGCUCGAGGAAUGGAGGGGAGACUGGAAUUCUCGGUGUAGCAGUGAAAUGCGUAGAUAUCGGGAGGAACACCAGUGGCGAAGGCGACUACCUGGCCUGUUCUUGACGCUGAGGCGCGAAAGCUAGGGGAGCAAACGGG